AAAAGCUCGUAGUUGGAUUUUUGAUCGGAGGGGUCGGUCCGCUCUGCAAAGAGUGUGUACUAGCGCCUUCUCCGGUUUUUCUUAUGGAGAGGCAUUCUGGCAUUAGGUUGUUGGGGUGUGGAUCCAUAUCGUUUACUGUGAAAAAAUUAGAGUGUUUAAAGCAGGCUUAGGCCGUUGAAUACAUUAGCAUGGAAUAAUAAGAUAGGACUUUGGCUCUAUUUUGUUGGUUUGCGUGCCAAGGUAAUGAUUAAUAGGGAUAGUUGGGGGUAUUCAUAUUUAAUUGUCAGAGGUGAAAUUCUUGGAUUUAUGAAAGAUGAACUUCUGCGAAAGCAUUUACCAAGGAUGUUUUCAUUAAUCAAGAACGAAAGUUAGGGGAUCGAAGAUGAUUAGAUACCAUCGUAGUCUUAACCAUAAACUAUGCCGACUAGGGAUUGGCGGUCGUUCUCAAUGACUCCGUCAGCACCUUAUGAGAAAUCAAAGUCUUUGGGUUCCGGGGGGAGUAUGGUCGCAAGGCUGAAAACUUAAAGGAAUUGACGGAAAGGCACCACCAGGGAGUGGGAGCCUGCGGCUUAAUUUGACUUCAACACGGGGAAACUUACCAGGUCAGACAUAGUAGGAAUUGACAGAUGGAGAGCUNCUUUCUUGANUUCUAUGGGGUGGUUGGUUGCAUGGCCGUUUCUUAGUUGGGUUGGAAUGGAAUUUGG
Molecule: ribosomal RNA, 704 nt
Filed under: uncultured eukaryote
Lineage: Eukaryota
Description: SSU rRNA
Rfam family: Eukaryotic small subunit ribosomal RNA
Source: RNAcentral